ACGACCCCGUCCCCCCCCCAGGACCCCCGGCUCCAGCACCCAGCCCCCCAGUGUCGCUUCAAUAGCGCACGUCUCUCCCGGGCAGCAUGGCCGCAGCAGGGCCCGGCGCGAAUCCACAGUCGACCCAAGGCCGGCGCUGGGGGUGUGAGCUCAUCGCAGAGUAACUGAAAAUACAGAGAAGGAAACUGGUAGCCCCAGUACGAUGUGAAGGGAGCCCCGCGGGCACCUUGAUCACCGUUACUCACGUUCUUCCGAGCCCGGCUGCUGCCGCCAGUGGAGGUGCCACGUGAGCCACGCCAGGUGCUCAAAGCCACACGAGGGGGACGAAACUCGCUUCAAAUGUGAGCUUACAAGACGGCUUGAAGAAAUGGCAGAGGACACACUGGCAAACGGAAACAGAGGGAGCGCCAGACAAAGUCAACUGCAGAGCAAGGAAAAUGCAGAGACCAAGAGGGACAUGACAAGAAGACCCAACAAGCCUCAACGUGUAGGCACCUAACACAGGGUCUGCAAAGUACAGAAAGAAAACACUGGCAGGAUUUCAAGGGGAAUUUGACAAACUCCAGUUACACUCGGAGGCUCCAGUGCUCCUGUCUUGGGAAUUGACCAAACUGGUAGAAAGUGAGCAAGGAUAUGCAGAGGAGAACAGCAUCGACAUGAACGUGUACACAUACAGGUGUCCACACACACGGAACAUGUACACAUACAGGUGUCCACACACACACACACACACACACACACACAAGCAUAUAUACGCGUGAUAUAUUUUUAUAUCUUCAUCCAACACAGUAGAACACAACCCUUCAAGUGCACACGACACAUUUACCAAGAUACACUCUAAAGUCAUUGAAAGUAAUUGAAUGACAUAAUGGUAUUAAGCCAGGCAUUGUUAACAGAAAGAUAACAUGAAAUUCUCCCACACUUAGAAGUUAACCACUCCACUUCUAAAUAGUUCAUACAUCAAAGAGGAAGAGUCAAGGGAGAUUAGAGCAUAUUUUGAACUAAAAGUGUCCAAUUUAUGGGAUGCAUAUAAAGCAGUACUUAGAGGGAAAUUCAUAGCACUAAAUGGUGACAUUACAGAAGAAGACAGGUCCCAAAUCCAUUAACCAAGUGUCCACCUUAAGACGCUCCAUGGGGAAGGGAACUCAUAGCUCGUGAGUUCAAGCCCCAUGUUGGGCAUGAAGCCUACUAAAACAAACAAAAGCAAAACCAAAAAAACCCAACAAAUAAACC
Molecule: long non-coding RNA, 1233 nt
Organism: Herpailurus yagouaroundi (jaguarundi)
Lineage: Eukaryota; Metazoa; Chordata; Mammalia; Carnivora; Felidae
Exons: 4
Source: RefSeq, a predicted model, not a curated record